CGGUGGUGGUGUGGUGGUGAGAUGGUGGUUCAAUUGGCUAAAAGUGGUGGAUGAGUGGAAGAAAUAUGAAGAAAAGAAGUGAUUUAAGUGGUGAAAUGGGAGAAAAAUGAGAGAAAGGGGAGAAGCAAGGAGGAGGGGCGGCAAAAAGAGAGGUGAAGAAUAGAAUGAAGCGGCUAAAAGAGAGAUGGAGAAUAAAAUGAACAAAAAAAUAAAAGUGUUUCAUGUGUCUAGGUGCAUUGGACGAUUAAGGUACGGUAAGGGAGGUAAAAUGGCAUGGAAAGAGAAUCUUGGGAGUGAAAAGGAGGUUAUUG
This 311-nucleotide long non-coding RNA is filed under the name Gossypium raimondii (Peruvian cotton). RNAcentral's name for it is "long non-coding RNA (GRAI_LNC000934)". The record is from RNAcentral. Lineage: Eukaryota; Viridiplantae; Streptophyta; Magnoliopsida; Malvales; Malvaceae.